AGCAGCCGCGGUAAUUCCAGCUCCAAUAGCGUAUAUUAAAGUUGUUGCAGUUAAAAAGCUCGUAGUUGAAUUUCGGGGUUAGUAGGUUGGUCAUGCCUCUGGUAUGUACUGGUCUCACUGAUUCCUCCUUCCUGAUGAGCCGUAAUGCCAUUAAUUUGGUGUUGUGGGGAAUUUGGACUGUUACUUUGAAAAAAUUAGAGUGUUUAAAGCAAGCUAACGCUUGAAUACAUUAGCAUGGAAUAACGAAAUAGGACGUUUGAUUCUAUUUUGUUGGUUUCUAGGAUCGACGUAAUGAUUAAUAGGGAUAGUUGGGGGCAUUAGUAUUCAAUUGUCAGAGGUGAAAUUCUUGGAUUUAUUGAAGACUAACUACUGCGAAAGCAUUUGCCAAGGAUGUUUUCAUUAAUCAAGAACGAAAGUUAGGGGAUCGAAGACGAUCAGAUACCGUCGUAGUCUUAACCAUAAAUUAUGCCGACUAGGGAUCGGAUGAUGUUAAAUUAAUGACUCA
RNAcentral lists this ribosomal RNA (505 nucleotides) under uncultured Glomeraceae. Its description in RNAcentral is "SSU rRNA". It matches the Rfam family "Eukaryotic small subunit ribosomal RNA", at positions 569 to 1078 of the family's 1831-position model. Lineage: Eukaryota; Fungi; Glomeromycota; Glomeromycetes; Glomerales; Glomeraceae. The record is from RNAcentral.